RNAcentral lists this long non-coding RNA (760 nucleotides) under Rosa chinensis. RNAcentral describes it as "sRNA RchiOBHm_Chr2g0114301". Lineage: Eukaryota; Viridiplantae; Streptophyta; Magnoliopsida; Rosales; Rosaceae. The record is from RNAcentral.
GGUUACAGCUGGAUUGACGGCUUGAAAGAUCAUGCAAACAAACAAAUUCGAUUCUGAUGAACGCAAGCUUUGUCUACCCUGAAACAACUCCGACUACAAAAGAAGGAUAAUACUAUAGGACUAUCUUUGAGAAAUAUUUUCCAAAGAUGUAAAGACUGGAAGUCUUGUGAGUGACUCUCCACAGAAACUUGUAAAAGGGGUUGCAGAGAAAGUAGCUGCAGUACUUUGAGUGGGAUGAAAAAGAUGAGACCAGAAGGCCCUGUAGGGAAUCCAUCAUGACUGUGGAGAUGGGUAGAAAUUUGGUCGAGGUGGAAGAAAUUGGGGCUGACAAUGACCGACCGGCGGCACCUGGUUCCGGUGAUUAGCUGGAAAGGGCAUAUAGCGUGGCUUACAUGGAUCUUGAUUCUUGACAGGACCCAUAGAAUUCUUCAUUGGACCAUAAGGACCUCUCUGGUCUACGUAGACUUGCAUCAUCUUGAGAAAUUGUUUUGGCACCAGAAUUCUCAAGAAACAGGAAAGAGGAUUGGGAUAUGGAAACUUAGACGAGGGGGUGUCUCUAUUUAUAAGGUUUGAGAAUAGGAAACUAGAUGAGGCGGUUGGGUUUCCGACUAUAGGGUUUAGGAUUUGGGGUUUCCCAAUCCUUGUGGGUAAAAGAUUUUUGGAUUUCCCAAUCCUUUUGGGUUAAGGAUUGGCCAAUUUGACUCGGGUUCCCUAACUUCUUUUAUUUUUAUUUUCAUGUUUUUAAUUGACAAUUUUACUU